This is a small nuclear RNA of Octodon degus (degu), 107 nucleotides long. The record is from Ensembl. Lineage: Eukaryota; Metazoa; Chordata; Mammalia; Rodentia; Octodontidae.
UGGCUCAAUUUGUGACCACAUAUAAUAAAAAAUGGAAUAAUGCAGAGAAGAUUACCUGGCCCCUUUGCAAGGGUGACACACAAAAUUGCACAGCAUUCCACAUUUUA